RNAcentral lists this ribosomal RNA (750 nucleotides) under Coniella quercicola. Its description in RNAcentral is "partial large subunit ribosomal RNA". It matches the Rfam family "Eukaryotic large subunit ribosomal RNA", at positions 151 to 927 of the family's 3401-position model. The record is from RNAcentral. Lineage: Eukaryota; Fungi; Ascomycota; Sordariomycetes; Diaporthales; Schizoparmaceae.
CAGAGGAUGUUUCUGGCGCGGUGCCUUCCGAGUUCCCUGGAACGGGACGCCAUAGAGGGUGAGAGCCCCGUAUGGUUGGAUACUAAGCCUGUGUGAAACUCCUUCGACGAGUCGAGUAGUUUGGGAAUGCUGCUCAAAAUGGGAGGUAAAUCUCUUCUAAAGCUAAAUAUUGGCCAGAGACCGAUAGCGCACAAGUAGAGUGAUCGAAAGAUGAAAAGCACCUUGAAAAGGGGGUUAAACAGUACGUGAAAUUGUUGAAAGGGAAGCGCUCAUGACCAGACUUGUGCUGGGCAGCUCAUCCGGGGUUCUCCCCGGUGCACUCUGCCCAGUUCAGGCCAGCAUCGAUUUUUGCUGGGGGAUAAGAACGGUAGGAACGUGGCCCUCCUUCGGGAGGGUGUUAUAGCCUGCCGUACGAUACCCUGGCGGAGAUCGAGGUUCGCGCAUCUGCAAGGAUGCUGGCGUAAUGGUCAUCAGCGACCCGUCUUGAAACACGGACCAAGGAGUCGUCCAUUAGAGCGAGCGUUUGGGUGUAAAACCCGCACGCGUAAUGAAAGUGAAAUUAGGUGAGAGCUUCGGCGCAUCAUCGACCGAUCCUGAUGUUCUCGGAAGGAUUUGAGUAAGAGUUUUAACGGACGGACCCGAAAGACAGUGAACUAUGCUUGUAUAGGGUGAAGCCAGAGGAAACUCUGGUGGAGGCUCGCAGCGGUUCUGACGUGCAAAUCGAUCGUCAAAUAUGAGCAUGGGGGCGAA